Molecule: ribosomal RNA, 765 nt
Filed under: uncultured Streptococcus sp.
Lineage: Bacteria; Bacillati; Bacillota; Bacilli; Lactobacillales; Streptococcaceae
Description: bacterial SSU rRNA
Rfam family: Bacterial small subunit ribosomal RNA
Source: RNAcentral
GAUGAACGCUGGCGGCGUGCCUAAUACAUGCAAGUAGAACGCUGAAGCUUGGUGCUUGCACCGAGCGGAUGAGUUGCGAACGGGUGAGUAACGCGUAGGUAACCUGCCUCUUAGCGGGGGAUAACUAUUGGAAACGAUAGCUAAUACCGCAUAAAAGUCGACAUUGCAUGAUGUUGAUUUGAAAGGUGCAAAUGCAUCACUAAGAGAUGGACCUGCGUUGUAUUAGCUAGUUGGUGAGGUAACGGCUCACCAAGGCGACGAUACAUAGCCGACCUGAGAGGGUGAUCGGCCACACUGGGACUGAGACACGGCCCAGACUCCUACGGGAGGCAGCAGUAGGGAAUCUUCGGCAAUGGGGGCAACCCUGACCGAGCAACGCCGCGUGAGUGAAGAAGGUUUUCGGAUCGUAAAGCUCUGUUGUAAGAGAAGAACGAGUGUGAGAGUGGAAAGUUCACACUGUGACGGUAACUUACCAGAAAGGGACGGCUAACUACGUGCCAGCAGCCGCGGUAGUACGUAGGUCCCGAGCGUUAUCCGGAUUUAUUGGGCGUAAAGCGAGCGCAGGCGGUUAGAUAAGUCUGAAGUUAAAGGCUGUGGCUUAACCAUAGUACGCUUUGGAAACUGUUUAACUUGAGUGCAGAAGGGGAGAGUGGAAUUCCAUGUGUAGCGGUGAAAUGCGUAGAUAUAUGGAGGAACACCGGUGGCGAAAGCGGCUCUCUGGUCUGUAACUGACGCUGAGGCUCGAAAGCGUGGGGAGCAAACAGG